Panthera pardus (leopard) is the source of this 121-nucleotide ribosomal RNA. The record is from Ensembl. Lineage: Eukaryota; Metazoa; Chordata; Mammalia; Carnivora; Felidae.
GUCUACGGCCAUACCACCCUGAAUGUACCUGAUCUCGUCUGAUCUUGGAAGCUAAGCAGGGUCAGGCCUGUUCCCGGUUGGAUGGGAGUCCAACCUGUCACUGUCCCUGAUGUUCUCGUCA